RNAcentral lists this ribosomal RNA (403 nucleotides) under Verrucomicrobiota bacterium. RNAcentral's name for it is "Verrucomicrobia bacterium partial 16S ribosomal RNA". It matches the Rfam family "Bacterial small subunit ribosomal RNA", at positions 355 to 776 of the family's 1533-position model. The record is from RNAcentral. Lineage: Bacteria; Pseudomonadati; Verrucomicrobiota.
UGGGGAAUAUUGCACAAUGGGCGCAAGCCUGAUGCAGCAACGCCGCGUGAACGAUGAAGGUCUUCGGAUCGUAAAGUUCUGUUGCAGGGGAAGAUAAUGACGGUACCCUGUGAGGAAGCCCCGGCUAACUACGUGCCAGCAGCCGCGGUAAUACGUAGGGGGCUAGCGUUAUCCGGAUUUACUGGGCGUAAAGGGUGCGUAGGUGGUCUUUCAAGUCGGUGGUUAAAGGCUACGGCUCAACCGUAGUUAGCCUCCGAAACUGGAAGACUUGAGUGCAGGAGAGGGAAGUGGAAUUCCCAGUGUAGCGGUGAAAUGCGUAGAUAUUGGGAGGAACACCAGUAGCGAAGGCAGCUUUCUGGACUGCAACUGACACUGAGGAACGAAAGCGUGGGUAGCAAACAGG